GGGGCAGCCCUAAAUGCAGUCGAACGGAGACGGAGCUGGAAGGGACAGUUUACUGUAACGGAAAGAUCUGUCUUAGUGGCGGACGGGUGAGUAACGCGUGGGCAACCUGCCCUGUACCGGGGGAUAACACUUAGAAAUAGGUGCUAAUACCGCAUAAUAGGGAAUACCGCAUGGUAAUCCUUUGAAAACUCCGGUGGUACAGGAUGGGCCCGCGUCUGAUUAGCCAGUUGGCGGGGUAACGGCCCACCAAAGCGACGAUCAGCAGCCGGCCUGAGAGGGUGGACGGCCACACUGGGACUGAGACACGGCCCAGACUCCUACGGGAGGCAGCAGUGGGGAAUAUUGCACAAUGGGGGGAACCCUGAUGCAGCGACGCCGCGUGAGUGAAGAAGUAUUUCGGUAUGUAAAGCUCUGUCAGCAGGGAAGAAGAAAGACGGUACCUGACCAAGAAGCCCCGGCUAACUACGUGCCAGCAGCCGCGGUAAUACGUAGGGGGCAAGCGUUAUCCGGAUUUACUGGGUGUAAAGGGAGCGUAGACGGCAGGGCAAGUCUGGAGUGAAAGGCAGGGGCCCAACCCCUGGACUGCUCUGGAAACUGUCCGGCUGGAGUGCAGGAGAGGUAAGUGGAAUUCCUAGUGUAGCGGUGAAAUGCGUAGAUAUUAGGAGGAACACCAGUGGCGAAGGCGGCUUACUGGACUGUAACUGACGUUGAGGCUCGAAAGCGUGGGGAGCAAACAGGAUUAGAUACCCU
Molecule: ribosomal RNA, 750 nt
Filed under: uncultured bacterium
Lineage: Bacteria
Description: bacterial SSU rRNA
Rfam family: Bacterial small subunit ribosomal RNA
Source: RNAcentral